This 78-nucleotide transfer RNA is filed under the name Anaeromyxobacter sp. Fw109-5. RNAcentral describes it as "tRNA-Ile (GAT) (tRNA-Ile-GAT-1-1, tRNA-Ile-GAT-1-2)". It matches the Rfam family "tRNA". From Rfam's summary of the family: Transfer RNA (tRNA) molecules are approximately 80 nucleotides in length. Lineage: Bacteria; Pseudomonadati; Myxococcota; Myxococcia; Myxococcales; Anaeromyxobacteraceae. RNAcentral also lists the same sequence under 8 other names. The record is from RNAcentral.
GGGCCUAUAGCUCAGUUGGUUUAGAGCGCACGCCUGAUAAGCGUGAGGUCGGUGGUUCAAAUCCACCUAGGCCCACCA